AACUCAUCAAGAGCGGUAGAGGGAACUGGCCCGAGGAAGCCGCAGCAACCAUUCUUUUUAGAACCGGUGCUAAUUCCAACAGCAGCAGCUGACAGAUGAGAG
This is a regulatory RNA element of Dialister sp. CAG:357, 102 nucleotides long. It matches the Rfam family "SAM riboswitch aptamer (S box leader)". From Rfam's summary of the family: The SAM riboswitch is found upstream of a number of genes which code for proteins involved in methionine or cysteine biosynthesis in Gram-positive bacteria. NCBI's taxonomy places the organism in Bacteria, Bacillati, Bacillota, Negativicutes, Veillonellales, Veillonellaceae. The record is from Rfam.